Molecule: ribosomal RNA, 433 nt
Filed under: uncultured bacterium
Lineage: Bacteria
Description: bacterial SSU rRNA
Rfam family: Bacterial small subunit ribosomal RNA
Source: RNAcentral
UGGGGAAUAUUGGACAAUGGGGGAAACCCUGAUCCAGCAAUGCCGCGUGUGUGAUGAAGGCCUUCGGGUUGUAAAGCACUUUUGUCAGGGACGAUGAUGACGGUACCUGACGAAUAAGCUCCGGCUAACUUCGUGCCAGCAGCCGCGGUAAUACGAGGGGAGCUAGCGUUGUUCGGAAUUACUGGGCGUAAAGGGCGUGUAGGCGGUACCAUAAGUCAGAUGUGAAAGCCCUAGGCUUAACCUAGGAGGUGCAUUUGAUACUGUGGAACUAGAGAUCGAGAGAGGAAAGUGGAAUUACGAGUGUAGAGGUGAAAUUCGUAGAUAUUCGUAAGAACACCAGUGGCGAAGGCGACUUUCUGGCUCGAUACUGACGCUAAGGCGCGAAAGCGUGGGGAGCAAACAGGAUUAGAUACCCUGGUAGUCCCUGAGCGGG